GCCGCCGUCCUCCCAAUCCCCUCCCCACAUCGGGAACCGCCGCCGACGCCGCAGGAGGAGACGCAUCGAGGUUAGCACGCGAAGAAGCGACCAUGAGGGCCAAGGUAUUCUCCCUGCUUUCCUACUCCUCGCGCACACUAUCUCGUCGAUUAGAUCCGUGUGGCGUAGCAACUCCUUCCCACGAGUAGCUAGCUCCCAACUCGGUCCGUCCAUGUCCCGGGGCUGUGAUUACAAAGAGAGAGGCUCGAGUGGCGCGAUUCUGGGAGGAAUCGUUUCUGGGACGGUGGAUCACGCCGUGCGUGCGUGGCGCCCCUCGGCGCAGCAGCCGGGUCUGGAUCGUUUGCGUGGAACGCGAGGUGCCGCCCUGCGCGAGCCGAGCCAGAUCGUCUCGCGCGGGCUUGGUAUCUCGUGUUCCGUGGCUCGGUUCCGCACGGUCCAGCCGCUGCGGACUGUGAGGCGUCGCGUGCUUCCGGCGCCACCGCCGUCUGCUAGGGUUCUUCCCCGGCCACGGUGAAGGUUUCUUUAACGCAUACACUUGAUAUGAGCCCCGUGGACGAUGGCUUAAGUCACUGCCGAUGAAAUCUAGCCAGCAACUGAUGAAAUAUGCAAUUGUCUUCAUUCAAUAUGCUUUGCUGGUUACGGCUAGUAAUACCAGUCAGCUAGACGACGCUCACAUAUCCCUCAAGGUGUUCGUUAUCUCCCGUUUAGCUCCUCUUGGCUUGAAGCACAAAACGUUUCCAUGUUGCUAGACACUUGUGUAAACAUAAUGUUUUGUAGUUAGUUGAGACUUUUGAAUCGUGCGAGACAAGAUAUUUUCUCUUGAAUUGUCGUUAUUUUGUUGCUCUGUUAACUGACCAUUAUUCUCGUACAAGAUAGUCCUCUUCUAUUGCACAUCUGUUAGAUGUAUUCAUGUCUAUGUUUUUCUAUUAUUAUUUGAACUUAUCUGUAAGUUGUAUGACGAGACGAACUCUUGUUUUUGCACUCUGGUUCUGUUGUCAGUCAACUUAAGAUAUUCUCUUAUAAGAACGGUCCUGUUUUGCAUUUUAUUGUGUAAGUGGUUCUUUUAUUUUUCCUGUUAUCUAAAGCGAUACGUUCUCCUGUGUCAAUCAUCAGUGGAAGAAGAAGCGCAUGAGGAGGCUCAAGAGGAAGCGCAGAAAGAUGAGGCAGAGAUCCAAGUAGGCAGAUCGAGAUGGAUUGUGGACCUGAUGACAUGCGUGGGUACAUACAUUUCUUCGGAUGCGUUGGUGUGCCUGUGGAGAGAUGUCAACCUGCCAUGGUGUCACGGUCCGCCAUCAGUUGAACGUCUUGCCUGCACUUCAGUAGGCCACUUUUCAUGGUUCUAGUUGUAUUUGAAUCCAGCGUUUGCCACUAAGAUAAAUCAGACAGUCGUUUUGUGAACCUAUUAUGAUGGAGCUUUAUUUGCUGAUAAUAUCUAGCUACCUAUUUGAGCUGAGUGAUCCCUGCACUUCAUUAUGGUUGGCAACUAUGUUUCUUAACCAUAUCAAUAUCUUUGUUUUGAGAAACAUUGUCUAGUUAUACCAUUCUAAACUUUCUUA
RNAcentral lists this long non-coding RNA (1556 nucleotides) under Zea mays. RNAcentral's name for it is "long non-coding RNA (ZMAY_LNC003549)". Lineage: Eukaryota; Viridiplantae; Streptophyta; Magnoliopsida; Poales; Poaceae. The record is from RNAcentral.